UUUAAGGCGAUCGGUAGAAGCAACGUAAAGCAGGGUUAUGCUAAUGCAUGACAUUUACCUUAUUAACUAUAAACACAACUUACUAAUAUGUAGACAUCUUGUCAUAGUCUCAAUGCUGGUGCAUGGCUUUCCUGUAGAUUUGUUUGUGUUAUACACCUGAGUCUCUGCAGAUCUGACGAAGAGGAUGAGGUGGACAGAGACGCCGGCAGGGAGUCGACCGGGCCGAGCGGCAGACAAGGCACACCGGCAGAGAGCACAUCGUAGCCCCGACUCGGGCCAACUCGCGCUUCCCAGUGACAUCAGACACACAGAGGCGAACAAUUCUUGUUCAUGGCAUGGACAGACGCACAAAAGAUAUAUAAUAUAAUAUAAUAUAUAUAUAUAUAUAUAUAUAUAUAUUAUUAUAUUAUAUAUUAUAUAAUAUAUAUAUAUAUAUAUAUAUAUUCCUAUUACACUUAAACUUCUUAUUACACUUAAUCACAUAACAAAGUGAUGCUGCCUCCAUGUGCUGUUGUGUCAUUUAACACCGCAUAUUGAAUAAGUUAGUUCAUACGGAGCAGGGAAGUUCUAUCAGAAGAAUGUCCUGCUCUACUUAAUUUAUAAGAGUAGCUUUUCAGGCAAAUAUGUGCCCUCUUCUGCACUAUCCCGACUUUUCAGAUAGCUUGGCAAAGAGGAUUUAGAUAAGCCCGCUCUGGCUUCGCUCCUCCAACAAGGUCUGACUGGCCAUCAACAUCCCCCCCUCCUCACACCCCCAUCAUUGUGGACUGCAGCACUUGGGAGAAGUUGGCCCCUUUUUUCAGUUAAAUCUCUUGGUCGGUCUAUAAUUAGGGGAGGCUCGGUCAUGAUUGCUGUCAUCAAAGUGCGAUCAUUUUUAGGAAUUACAUUUCUAUUCGAGCCAAGCUGUUAGAUGUGAUGCAUAUGUUUGAAAAUGAUUUUAAUGUGUAUUUAUAUGGUAUACAUAGAUAUAUAAUAUAAUUUAUGCGGAAUAUGAAGAAGAUACAAAUUAAGAUUGUUUUAAACCUCGUGACUGAAACACUAUUAAAAUAAGGCUUAUGUCAUAUUUCAUGCCACAAUAAUUUUGUUCUUUUUGAGGCUUUUCUGCGCUUUUGUCUGCUUGUGUUGGAUUUCUCAAGUUCAAAGGGAAUGUGUUUGUUUGCUAUUUUAAAUUAGCUUUCCUUAGAGCUGUCGAGACCAUGCACAUUUACAGAUGCAUUUUCUUUUCUCAGAAUGCACAAACUCUGGACCUCAUAUCAUAAAUUAAAGCUCCUUUUAAUGUCAAAUACAAUAACAGAAUAAUUUCAGAAGGAUGAUUUAUUUUAAAGGUUCAUUUGCUUGUUUCUCUUACAUGGUUGCAAUAUUGGCUCAAGCAGUACAAUAAUAAUACCCUUUUCAGGACAAAAUGGUUCUUUAAAUUGUAAGUUGCCAAACACAUUUUUUUUUAAACUGGUAAUUUCUGCAUUUGAGAAAAUUUGGGUUAUUGGAGGUUCUGUUCAUGAUCAUGAAUAAGUAGCUCUCAUGUUGUUAUUGAGCUAUUCCCAGACUGUUUUGGCCGGGUCGUCCACGUCAGACUAUUCAUUUAUUUGUACUCGAUUAGUCUACUCAGUAUUAGAAAACUGCCAAAAGCUCUGUUAAUUCAAAGCCUGUCUGCUCUUAUAUUUAGAGAUAUUUUUUAUUUUUAGCUUUCCACCCAUGAACCUCGUUGGUAUUCUCUAUUUUUGGCCUCGCAGAUGAUUCUGAGCUUGUGAAUUUAAAACUGUUUUCAACUCGCAUGUAGGUAGAUUAAAAUGAGAAAGCAUAUACAGAAUAUGUGCAUGUCUGCCUGUGUGCAAAAGAAAAGCGUGUCUGACUUCACAUUUACAUAUCUUCUCAGAAAAGGCUAAUCUGCAUUUCUUGUCUUAUUUUCUCCUUUUUUUUUGCUUCACAUGAAUAUUAAUGUGGAGCACAGGAAACUUUGAUGUCAGUGAUUUAAAAUAGACUUGUUAACUGGAAAAAACUAAAACGCUUUGAGUUGCAUUGCCUCAAAGUUGGAGUUGCUGAUCAUGUAAGUUGAAUAAGUUUGUACACUUUGUACACAAAAGGCUUGCCUAUUUUGGUUAUUCAACGGAUCCGUCAUGAUGUGAGUGUAGGUUUUUUAAAUAAUAAAUGUGUCUGUUUGUUUCCAGAAUCAGUGUUUGCUCACUGUAAUUGCGUAGAGGUGUGGUUUGGAUGAGGUCUGUUUCAAAUUCACCGAAGUGAGAGAAAAGGAGGUUAGAAAGGAGGCAGGAUGUUUUUAGCAAAACAAGCCAUUGAUGUGUUUGAUUAAUUUUAGCUCACCCACCCCAGAGUAACUUC
Molecule: long non-coding RNA, 2331 nt
Organism: Gasterosteus aculeatus aculeatus (three-spined stickleback)
Lineage: Eukaryota; Metazoa; Chordata; Actinopteri; Perciformes; Gasterosteidae
Source: Ensembl